GACGAACGCUGGCGGCGUGCUUAACACAUGCAAGUCGAACGGAAAGGCCCUGCUUUUGUGGGGUGCUCGAGUGGCGAACGGGUGAGUAACACGUGAGUAACCGGCCCUUGACUUUGGGAUAACUUCAGGAAACUGGGGCUAAUACCGGAUAGGAGCUCCUGCUGCAUGGUGGGGGUUGGAAAGUUUCGGCGGUUGGGGAUGGACUCGCGGCUUAUCAGCUUGUUGGUGGGGUAGUGGCUUACCAAGGCUUUGACGGGUAGCCGGCCUGGGAGGGUGACCGGCUACAUGGGGCUUGAGGAGCGGGCAGGGGGGAUACGGGAGGCAGGGGUGGGGACCGGGGCGCAAGGGGCGGAAGGGUGAUGCAGGGGCGCCGGGGGGGGGAGGCCGGCCGUUGGGUGGGAAACAGCUUUCGCGUGAGACGACGCGUGAGGGACGGAAAUGGGCAAAGAAGCACCGGUUACUUACGG
RNAcentral lists this ribosomal RNA (467 nucleotides) under uncultured bacterium. RNAcentral's name for it is "partial 16S ribosomal RNA". It matches the Rfam family "Bacterial small subunit ribosomal RNA", at positions 28 to 506 of the family's 1533-position model. The record is from RNAcentral.